This 327-nucleotide unclassified non-coding RNA is filed under the name soil metagenome. Its description in RNAcentral is "partial contains 5.8S ribosomal RNA, internal transcribed spacer 2, and large subunit ribosomal RNA". The stretch from base 1 to 120 matches the Rfam family "5.8S ribosomal RNA", at positions 35 to 154 of the family's 154-position model. The record is from RNAcentral.
GAUGAAGAACGCAGCAAAAUGCGAUAAGUAGUGUGAAUUGCAGAAUUCAGUGAAUCAUCGAAUCUUUGAACGCACAUUGCGCCCCCUGGUAUUCCGGGGGGCAUGCCUGUCCGAGCGUCAUUACAACCCUCAAGCUCAGCUUGGUGUUGGGCCCCGCCGCCCCGGCGGGCCCUAAAGUCAGUGGCGGUGCCGUCCGGCUCCGAGCGUAGUAAUUCUUCUCGCUCUGGAGGUCCGGUCGUGUGCUCGCCAGCAACCCCCAAUUUUUUUCAGGUUGACCUCGGAUCAGGUAGGGAUACCCGCUGAACUUAAGCAUAUCAAUAAGCGGAG